CCUACGGGAGGCAGCAGUGAGGAAUAUUGGUCAAUGGACGAGAGUCUGAACCAGCCAAGUAGCGUGAAGGAUGACUGCCCUAUGGGUUGUAAACUUCUUUUAUAUGGGAAUAAAAUGUUCCACGUGUGGGAUUUUGUAUGUACCAUAUGAAUAAGGAUCGGCUAACUCCGUGCCAGCAGCCGCGGUAAUACGGAGGAUCCGAGCGUUAUCCGGAUUUAUUGGGUUUAAAGGGAGCGUAGGUGGAUUGUUAAGUCAGUUGUGAAAGUUUGCGGCUGAACCGUAAAAUUGCAUGUGAAACUGGCAGUCUUGAGUACAGUAGAGGUGGGCGGAAUUCGUGGUGUAGCGGUGAAAUGCUUAGAUAUCACGAAGAACUCCGAUUGCGAAGGCAGUUCACUGGACUGCAACUGACACUGAGGCUCGAAAGUGUGGGUAUCAAACAGGAUUAGAUACCCGAGUAGUC
This 460-nucleotide ribosomal RNA is filed under the name uncultured bacterium. Its description in RNAcentral is "partial 16S ribosomal RNA". It matches the Rfam family "Bacterial small subunit ribosomal RNA", at positions 338 to 795 of the family's 1533-position model. The record is from RNAcentral.